GGCGCUAUAGCCAAGUGGUUACGGCGACAGAUUCGAAUGAUUACGACAUCUGUUCCUCUUUGAGGGCGCAGGUUCAAAUCCUGCUGGCGUCG
Molecule: non-coding RNA, 92 nt
Organism: Marasmius fiardii PR-910
Lineage: Eukaryota; Fungi; Basidiomycota; Agaricomycetes; Agaricales; Marasmiaceae
Source: the annotation of a GenBank genome assembly